CACGUAGGGAGCAAGCGUUGUCCGGAUUUAUUGGGCGUAAAGAGCUCGUAGGUGGUUCGGUAAGUCGGGUGUGAAAACUCUGGGCUCAACUCAGAGACGCCACCCGAUACUGCCGUGACUUGAGUCUGGUAGGGGAGUGUGGAAUUCCUAGUGUAGCGGUGAAAUGCGCAGAUAUUAGGAGGAACACCAGUGGCGAAGGCGGCACUCUGGGCCAGUACUGACACUGAGGAGCGAAAGCGUGGGGAGCGAACAGG
Molecule: ribosomal RNA, 254 nt
Filed under: uncultured bacterium
Lineage: Bacteria
Description: partial 16S ribosomal RNA
Rfam family: Bacterial small subunit ribosomal RNA
Source: RNAcentral